AUGGCUAUCGUCGCCGGCGUUCGUGGCGCGGGUCGUGCGUCUAUCACCGUCGGUCAAGGCAGAGGGGAUGUGUUCCUUCAUGGCCAACCGAGCAGAUCCGGAGGUAGAGGUCAUGGCAAUGGCAGUGCGGCCAUCCCCGUCGACCGUUCGUCAGGAGGAGGACAAUCCACAGGAUUCACGGAUGACAUCAAUCGGAGCAGAUAUGCCACCGGCGGGGCUCGUUAUGGUGGCAUAAGCAGAGGCCCGGAGGUUCCAUUGCCAAUUCCAACACCAAAGAAAGGUAAUGCAAAUGAUGUAACAAAUAUAUGGUGUCAUGGAAAAUCGUUGGAAGGAAAUGCAUGGUCUUGUUCUUAUUGUGGGGUUGUUAAACUUGGUGGGGGUGCAACCCGAUUCAAGUUGCAUCUAGCAGGACUGGGCUCUGAGUGUUACUCUUGCCUGAGUGCGCCUCAUCAUGUAGUUGCUGUUUUUCGGAAAGGCAUUCCGGAGGGAAUUGAUAGGAGGAGGAAGGCCAAAGAAGGAAAGAAAAGAGUAGUAGAUGAGGUCAACCAUCUGAACAAUCUAGAUACAUCAAUACAUAUUGAUUGUGAAUGA
This 591-nucleotide ribosomal RNA is filed under the name Triticum aestivum (bread wheat). Its description in RNAcentral is "partial small subunit ribosomal RNA". The record is from RNAcentral. Lineage: Eukaryota; Viridiplantae; Streptophyta; Magnoliopsida; Poales; Poaceae.